This 260-nucleotide long non-coding RNA is filed under the name Homo sapiens (human). RNAcentral describes it as "non-protein coding lnc-AURKA-1:1". The record is from RNAcentral. Lineage: Eukaryota; Metazoa; Chordata; Mammalia; Primates; Hominidae.
GUUUGUGGCUGGCAGAGGCAAAAUACUGGACUUGUAGCAGCAAUGAUAGUGAUCAGUCAGCUGUGCCUGAAGUCAUGUCUACCCUUUGGACUUUCUCUUCAAUUUAAGUCAUUUUGAGUAGUGUUUCUGCCUCUUGGAAUCUAAAGGAUCCACAUGAAUGUAAUGAAGUUAUGUGCCAGGUGCUAUGAGGCGAUGAGAAGGAAGAAGAGUAUGUACCACUGUCUUCCUGGAGGAAGUGACACAGGACCUGAGUCUUGAAA